RNAcentral lists this ribosomal RNA (122 nucleotides) under Cupriavidus sp. UYMU48A. RNAcentral describes it as "partial 16S ribosomal RNA". It matches the Rfam family "Bacterial small subunit ribosomal RNA", at positions 1413 to 1533 of the family's 1533-position model. The record is from RNAcentral. RNAcentral also lists the same sequence under 1 other name. Lineage: Bacteria; Pseudomonadati; Pseudomonadota; Betaproteobacteria; Burkholderiales; Burkholderiaceae.
GGUUUUGCCAGAAGUAGUUAGCCUAACCGCAAGGAGGGCGAUUACCACGGCAGGGUUCAUGACUGGGGUGAAGUCGUAACAAGGUAGCCGUAUCGGAAGGUGCGGCUGGAUCACCUCCUUUC